UAAGGAAUAUUGGUCAAUGGACGCAAGUCUGAACCAGCCAUGCCGCGUGAAGGAUUAAGGUCCUCUGGAUUGUAAACUUCUUUUAUAUGGGACGAAAAAAGGUCUUUCUAGACCCCUUGACGGUACCAUAUGAAUAAGCACCGGCUAACUCCGUGCCAGCAGCCGCGGUAAUACGGAGGGUGCAAGCGUUAUCCGGAUUCACUGGGUUUAAAGGGUGCGUAGGCGGGUAGGUAAGUCAGUGGUGAAAUC
RNAcentral lists this ribosomal RNA (249 nucleotides) under uncultured Sediminibacterium sp. RNAcentral's name for it is "partial 16S ribosomal RNA". It matches the Rfam family "Bacterial small subunit ribosomal RNA", at positions 355 to 601 of the family's 1533-position model. Lineage: Bacteria; Pseudomonadati; Bacteroidota; Chitinophagia; Chitinophagales; Chitinophagaceae. The record is from RNAcentral.